GGGCGAUUAGCUCAGUUGGUUAGAGCGCCGCUUUCACAGAGCGGAAGCCACUGGUUCGAGUCCAGUAUCGCCCACCA
This 77-nucleotide transfer RNA is filed under the name Candidatus Coatesiibacteriota bacterium. Its description in RNAcentral is "Candidatus Coatesbacteria bacterium tRNA-Val". It matches the Rfam family "tRNA". Rfam says of the family: Transfer RNA (tRNA) molecules are approximately 80 nucleotides in length. Their secondary structure includes four short double-helical elements and three loops (D, anti-codon, and T loops). Lineage: Bacteria; Candidatus Coatesiibacteriota. The record is from RNAcentral.